UGAGUAACCUGCCCCAGACUCUGGAAUAACCCCGGGGAAACCGGAGCUAAUACCGGAUACGAAACGAAGCCGCAUGGCUAUCGUUUGGAAAGUUUUUCGGUCUGGGAUGGACUCGCGGCCUAUCAGCUUGUUGGUGAGGUAAAGGCUCACCAAGGCGACGACGGGUAGCCGGCCUGAGAGGGUGACCGGCCACACUGGGACUGAGACACGGCCCAGACUCCGUACGGGAGGCAG
This 234-nucleotide ribosomal RNA is filed under the name uncultured bacterium. Its description in RNAcentral is "partial 16S ribosomal RNA". It matches the Rfam family "Bacterial small subunit ribosomal RNA", at positions 118 to 351 of the family's 1533-position model. The record is from RNAcentral.